This 656-nucleotide long non-coding RNA is filed under the name Ananas comosus (pineapple). Its description in RNAcentral is "long non-coding RNA (ACOM_LNC023677)". Lineage: Eukaryota; Viridiplantae; Streptophyta; Magnoliopsida; Poales; Bromeliaceae. The record is from RNAcentral.
AGUGAGCCUACAUAUAGAGAGAGAGUUGAGCUGAAAUGCUUUCAGUAGUAAAAAGGCUCUAUUACAAUUCAUUUAUUUUCGAUGAUGGAGUCUUCAAAUCGACGAUCGGUACUGUCGAAUAUGAUCUAUACUCCUUGAGGCAUCUAGAAACCAAAUUUUAUUUUUUUUUCGAUAUUAUUCUCUUGUCCAUUAAGUGAGCACAAAAUGAACGGCUGAGAAGAAAUAUUCUUUAAAAAGUGAUGAUAGGAAUCUUGUAAUCAAGAUCGAGAGUAUAAAUUUUAUUCUAAAUAGUUUAAAAUUUUUUCUAAUCAAAAUUUAAUUGAUUUGGAUAUUUUUACAACAUUAAAAGAGAAAACGUCUCAUAUCAACAAUUAAAAUUACAAAUGUUAAAACCUUUUAAUCAUAAGGUCAACGAUGUCGAAAAAAUUUGAAAUUUGGUUUCUAAAUAAUUCAAGUGAUAUAGAUCUUGUUUAACAGUGUCGAUCGUCAAUUUGGAGGUUUCAUCAUCUAAAAUAAAUGGGAGCAACGAAGCUGAUUUGCUACCGACAGCAUUCCAGCUCUACUUUCUCUCUCUAUCUCUCUCUCUCUAUAUAUUUUUUUUAUUAUUGUUGUGAAUCAAAUGGACAUUUUAAAUUUUAUUUUUAAGAUAUUAAUAA